Molecule: non-coding RNA, 26 nt
Filed under: Mus musculus (house mouse)
Lineage: Eukaryota; Metazoa; Chordata; Mammalia; Rodentia; Muridae
Source: RNAcentral
UGCAAAAACUCGGGUAAGGUCUGCAG